CCGGUUUAUUAUAAAAGAAUAUAACUCAGGAAUAGCCAACUGGAAGAUAAGCAUAGGGCAAAGCAUGAAGAACGGUGCAGAGCUUUCAUGCCCUCCCUGAGUGUGCCACUCUUCCCGUAUCUCCAUGUGUUCUUCAACCUGGAAACACUCUGAACCCUGUCCUUUUGGGGUUUUAUGGAGGUUUCAUUACAUAGGUAUGAUUGUUUAAGUCAGUGGUUAUUGGUGAUUGAUUUAGCCUCCAGCCCCUCUCCCCUCCCUGGAAGUGUGUUUGGUGGGGUGGGACUGAAAGUUCCAACCCUCUAAUCACAUGGUGUCCUCUGGCAACCACCCCCAUCCUUAGAUGUGUUCCCAAAAGUUACCGCAUUAACAUAACGAAAGACACCUUGAUCACUCUCAUCACUUAGGAAAUUCCAAGAGUUUUAGGAGCUCAUACCAAAAAAAACAGGAGGAAGACCAAAUAUUUAUUUCCUAAUAUAAAUCACAAUAUCAGAGUCGACCCUCCAGUCUUCAAACAUGGAUCUCACAGCAAAACAAUCAUAAAGGUCAAAAGAUAACUGGCACAUUACUAGCAUCCUAUUCGGUCAAUAACCAUCCAGUCCAUCAUGAAAAUAUCUACUAGGUGUGAGCACACACUCCUGAAGGUGUGUAAGCCAGUCCUUCAUACCUUUAUUUCCCCAUUUUAAACAACCAGUGUUUUAAUUGCCCAUUCUAACUCUAUUGAACUACUACUCUAAGAAGGAUAUCACUCUGCCCAUUGUUGGACAUUGUGGGCUGUAAAGUGUGUUUGUUCCUUGGUGUUGAUAAAUAAAUGAAAAGCAAUAGUACAUAUUGGAGUAUAUGAGGAAGCCAUUUGGUAUAAAACUAAUUUGACCUUUGUUUUUCCAAAAGGGCCUGAUGUGGCCUGUUGAGCAUGCAUUGUAUAUCUGCUUUAAACAUUUACAAUUUACAAUGUCCCAAAGACAAGAAUGAUGCCCCUCUAAAGAUAGGGAUGUAGCUUCCCUCCAUAUUGGCAUUUCUUUAAGGAUAAACAUCUCUUCCUAGAAACUAAGGAUUAAUUACUGACCUGAUGUACUGACCUGCUGACCACUGAUCUGCUGUGCCAGCUAAGCAUCUCAUGACAAUGGUAAAAGGAACAUUCCUGUCAUAUGUGAUGUAUGCUCUUUGUUCCAAGACAGUAUAUAACCACUCUGUACACCCCACUUCUUUGGUCCUCUUCCUUCCUUGGAGAAGGACAGCCCCAGGAUAGUCUUCAGAUCUGGCUCCCCAAUUUUGAUUUAUAGAUUGAUUAUGGAUUAUCUGUGUUGACAGUGUGAAGAAAUGACAGUCGGCUAUCCAAAUUGGUGGAAUAGCUUUUGUUCUAGUUCUUUCAUAAUACUCUGAGCAUUUACCAGCUACGUUCAGGGCCUUCCCACCAGGGAAUCUGCCACAAAAUCAUCUGCAGGCUCUGUCUCUCUCGGUGUCAGACAGAACAGUUCUUAUUGGCAUUUUGUGCCUCAGAGGUGCAAGCGGGAUAGGUUUAGAUUCAUCCCACCUGUGCAUUGCUGCAGUGUCCCCAUAUCCAUUCAUUUCCUAGACCCAGGUGGCCAUCUCAAGGGAGCACGUGGGUACAUCUGCUGCUCGAUUCCAGUUACCUGGAAGGGAGUUCUACUGAUGGGCAUCGACACGUCCUACUUUAAUGCACCCCUCAAAUUUCCACAGGGCUAUGUCCCAUAUGGGCAUCCCUUUAAUAGGCUAGGUUUCCAUUGUCUUCCUGCCUGACCAUAUGGUCAGGCCAUUGGCCACAGCCCACAAGUCAACAAAAACCCAAACACAGGGGCUUUCACCACUGUUCAGUUCUUCCAUUACUGCUGGGAAAACAUGCAAUUCAGCACACCAGGCUGAUUUGUUUUUACCUUCUUCCAUCAGAGUGGUGGCUUUCUAAACACGAUGUUGUCCAUUCACCUUGGAACUGCCAUCCACAAAGCAAGGAGCUCUUUGUCGAUCAGUCAGGAACAGUUUAUAGGGCAGUGUCCAAAUGAUAGCAGAAUCCAGUAGCUCCUCAUAGACUUCCAGAGUCAGUCCGAGGGGAAGAGAGGGUCCUUGCUUGUGACUAUCUCCUCCUUGCAUUUCCCAGGCAGCAUGAUCC
Equus asinus (donkey) is the source of this 2125-nucleotide long non-coding RNA. Lineage: Eukaryota; Metazoa; Chordata; Mammalia; Perissodactyla; Equidae. The record is from Ensembl.